UCUCCGUUGGUGAACCAGCGGAGGGAUCAUUACCGAGUUUACAACUCCCAAACCCCAUGUGAACCUUACCUAACGUUGCUUCGGCGGGAUGCCCCGGGCGCGGGCCGCAAGGCCCCAGCCCCGGAACCGGGCGCCCGCCGGAGGCCCAAACCAAACGCUUGUUUUUGUAGAAUCUUCUGAGUGGCCGUUUAGGCAAAAAAUGAAUCAAAACUUUCAACAACGGAUCUCUUGGUUCUG
Molecule: unclassified non-coding RNA, 237 nt
Filed under: plant metagenome
Description: partial contains small subunit ribosomal RNA, internal transcribed spacer 1, and 5.8S ribosomal RNA
Source: RNAcentral